This 433-nucleotide ribosomal RNA is filed under the name uncultured bacterium. RNAcentral describes it as "partial 16S ribosomal RNA". It matches the Rfam family "Bacterial small subunit ribosomal RNA", at positions 29 to 507 of the family's 1533-position model. The record is from RNAcentral.
AACGAACGCUGGCGGCAUGCCUAACACAUGCAAGUCGAACGAAGUCUUCGGACUUAGUGGCGCACGGGUGCGUAACGCGUGGGAAUCUGCCCUUGGGUACGGAAUAACUCAGAGAAAUUUGUGCUAAUACCGUAUAAUGUCUUCGGACCAAAGAUUUAUCGCCCAAGGAUGAGCACGCGUAAGAUUAGCUAGUUGGUGGGGUAAAAGCCUACCAAGGCGACGAUCUUUAGCUGGUCUGAGAGGAUGAUCAGCCACACUGGGACUGAGACACGGCCCAGACUCCUACGGGAGGCAGCAGUGGGGAAUAUUGGACAAUGGGCGAAAGCCUGAUCCAGCAAUGCCGCGUGAGUGAUGAAGGCCCUAGGGUUGUAAAGCUCUUUUACCAGGGAUGAUAAUGACAGUACCUGGAGAAUAAGCUCCGGCUAACUCCGUG